This 479-nucleotide unclassified non-coding RNA is filed under the name Hevea brasiliensis (rubber tree). Lineage: Eukaryota; Viridiplantae; Streptophyta; Magnoliopsida; Malpighiales; Euphorbiaceae. The record is from RNAcentral.
UGGGACCCUCAAAAUCCCCACCACCUCUAGCACAAACUCAGAACCCAGCGACCCAUCCAUUAAAAAGAAGCGUAAAAGACCAGCUAAUAGCGAGUACAUUGACAUAAGUGACGCCGCCGUUUCAGUCUCCGCGCCUCUUGCCCCUAUAAUAACACAACCACAAACACCACCACCACCACCACAACCCCCUCAACAAGCAGCAACCGCAGUAGUUCCUCAGGGUUUAGUUCCCAUGUGGGCCAUACCGUCUAACGCCGUGGUUCCUGGCGCGUUCUUCAUGGUACCGCCCAUGGCGGCAUCCAUUGCGGGACCUCCGAACCAGCCCCAAAUAUUCACGUUCCCUGCUGCGGCUACGCCUCUAAUCAACAUAUCGGCGAGGCCGAUAUCGUCUUUCGUAUCGUCCAUGCAACAAGCUGCCAAUAUAGCAGUAACUAUGCCCGUUUCGAGUUCUCCUGUUUCUGAUUCAAAGCCUGCGAAAG